UUCCUAUUUCUGGCCUGGGCUGGGACACACAUUCAUACGGUUUGAUGAAGUAUUUAUUGGAGUUUAACUUAUUAUUGCACUUAAAAUAACAAGCGUAGCUGUUCUCAAUUUAAGUCGUCCUGUGGCCGCAUCUGUCU
Long non-coding RNA from Etheostoma spectabile (orangethroat darter), 137 nucleotides. RefSeq lists it as uncharacterized. The transcript has 3 exons. Lineage: Eukaryota; Metazoa; Chordata; Actinopteri; Perciformes; Percidae. The record is from RefSeq and is a predicted model, not a curated record.